Molecule: ribosomal RNA, 253 nt
Filed under: uncultured bacterium
Lineage: Bacteria
Description: partial 16S ribosomal RNA
Rfam family: Bacterial small subunit ribosomal RNA
Source: RNAcentral
UACGUAGGGGGCGAGCGUUAUCCGGAAUUACUGGGCGUAAAGCGCACGCAGGCGGUUCGCCAAGUUUGGAGUGACAGUUGUCGGCUCAACCGACAAAGGACUUCAAAAACUGGUGAACUUGAGGACGAGAGAGGAACAUGGAACUCCAGGUGUAGUAGUGAAAUGCGUAGAUAUCUGGAAGAACGCCAAUGGCGAAGGCAAUGUUCUGGCUCGUUUCUGACGCUCAGGUGCGAAAGCCAGGGGAGCGAACGGG